CACCUGAGCAGCUUCCAGUCCUCACAUUGAUUCUGAGGUCGGGAGGACCCGGAAGUACAGACCAAAGUCACCAGGGUAACGGUACCAUAGAGAGGAACCAGAGACACCAUAGAGAGGAUGGCCGCUUGCUGACACCUACUGAUUGCCAACGUUCUUGAGAUAUUGAACAUAAUCGUCGGGUCCCUUACUAUCAGAGGAGGUGACAGGACUGGUGGUUAUAUCAUAGUACAUCAGGGCCUUAUCAAUGCCUUUGGAGGUGGGAGGUCAGGGCUGUCUGCCCCGGUUCGUACCUCACUGGAAUCACUUGCUUCCCUCUCUAGGUCUGGUCUACGAACCUUUUUACUCGGGAUGCAUGGAUCCAGGUAGGACUUUCCUCUGUCAGGACUGCUGUUCGGGUAACUGCUACGACCUCUGUCUCUGGACCAUAGGUGAAGUCUCCUGGGCUCUUGUUCCUGGGGAGCACCUUCACCACGACUCUGUCUCCGACUU
Molecule: long non-coding RNA, 489 nt
Organism: Pseudophryne corroboree (corroboree frog)
Lineage: Eukaryota; Metazoa; Chordata; Amphibia; Anura; Myobatrachidae
Exons: 3
Source: RefSeq, a predicted model, not a curated record